CAUAAUUUCUCUAGAUUUGUUUCAGUUGACGGCAAUUCUCUCUCACUGUCCGUUGCUUCUCGUCUCCGGAGGAGCACUUCCGGUGUAACUCGUUUGAGAACGAGAAGCUGUUUUCCUCUUUCUUCAACAAUGGCGAAGGAACAGCAACUGCGGCCAUGGUUUCUGGAUCUGGUUCCGGCGUUGGUGGUUCUUCUCGCAGCAGCUCAUGUCGUCGCUUUGGUUUACUGGAUUUACAGAUUGGCCACUGAUCGGCAGCCUCAGAGACGAAAAUUCCACUGAGGACAAAUUCAAUAGAUCUCGUUCAUGGAUUGGAGAGCUUUUCGUGCUGCCACAGAUGACAGAUGAGUUUGUAAGUUCUUGAAUACUCGUUGGGGUGAUCGGAAGAGAAUAUUUGAUCCACCCACGAUUCACGUUAAGUAGAGUACAUGAGUGAUAUGAACAAGUUCUAGUUAAGUAGAUUUUGACCACAAAAAAAAAAAAAAAAGAUGCAGAUUCACGGCCAGAUUUAUAUCCCAUUGCGAUGGGAAGCAACAUUUUCGUUUUUUUUUUUUUUAUAAUCUCAACGGGUACGUUACAAGUUGUCUAUGCAAAGCCCCACGACCAGGACAGAACUCUUUACCGUA
Molecule: RNA transcript, 623 nt
Organism: Tarenaya hassleriana
Lineage: Eukaryota; Viridiplantae; Streptophyta; Magnoliopsida; Brassicales; Cleomaceae
Exons: 4
Source: RefSeq, a predicted model, not a curated record